Molecule: long non-coding RNA, 759 nt
Filed under: Rattus norvegicus (Norway rat)
Lineage: Eukaryota; Metazoa; Chordata; Mammalia; Rodentia; Muridae
Description: long non-coding RNA NONRATT024399
Source: RNAcentral
CCUGAUCCUUUUCAUGGGUUCCCGUGUUUGCUGAAGUGACUCCUUUGUCGUCUCUCUAACCGUUUGUCUCUAUGUAGUUGGUGGGUUGGGAGUUGAGACAGGGUCCCCUCUGUAUGUAUGAAAAUGCUGUCCUGGAACUUGCUACAUAGACCAGGCUACCCUGAAACUGAGAGAUUCACCUGUGUCCAGCUCUGGGAUGAAAAGUGUGAGCCGCCACUCCCCGUUGUCACUUUUGAAGUAUGGCACUUUUAUUGGAGCACAAAGUGUUUGUCACAUGAAUGUAUCCUUGCAGGAUUUGAACUUUGGACUCAGGAGCCCCAAGAGUCUGAAGCUUCUGAAAACUGCUCAGUACUGUGUGACAUCACAGUACUUAUUAGCCCGAGAAGCACUUACUGUGUGUUGCCAGAGAGAUGAGAGGAAUUUGUACUCAGGUUCGGGGCGCUGUUGCUGGUGGAUCUUUCUAGGGAUUUCCAAUGGUGCUGAUCGUCAGAGAAAGAAGACUAGCUGUAAGGUGACAGGUUGCUUUUAGUCCUGGUCAUUGUCACAGUGGUAGAAAGCAAACUGGAAAGCCUUGUUCCCAAAGAAUUAGUGUGCCCUGUAAGCUUCAGCCUUUGAGAGAAGGCAGUGCCCUAAAGAGGCAUUGAACAUGAAUUGUUGAUGGUAACGUAAUUUUCAGUAAUGUGAAUUUUGCUAAAGCUUCAGGAGUUGCUAAGCCUUUGUUAAAGGUUUUAGAUGGCUGGUUUAUCUUAGUCUCCUGCA